This 214-nucleotide long non-coding RNA is filed under the name Ictidomys tridecemlineatus (thirteen-lined ground squirrel). RNAcentral's name for it is "lncRNA (ENSSTOG00000032272.1)". The record is from RNAcentral. Lineage: Eukaryota; Metazoa; Chordata; Mammalia; Rodentia; Sciuridae.
UCUCAUCGGGGCUCUGUGAUAGUAUAUUCAGUUAAGUCUGAUCAAAGAGAGACCAAUGCAUAGAUCCUGAGUCCUCAAAUCCUCGACCAUAUACUAUCACUCAUGGAAGUUCUAUUCUGAUUCAGGACCCUUAGAGCCUUCUCUCCAACCAAAGAGGUGGGGCAAUGAAUCUCGGCACCUUUCUUCAGUGAUAGAUUUGUAUUUGAAAUCUAGC